GCUUGACUGUAGCUUGUAAUUGGAUUCGGGCUUUUUUUGCGCAGCCUAGGUGGGAGGCAAUGAUGAUUUUUUCCGGAAAAUUUGAGCCAUUCGUGAGAGACCACUCUGAGAAAGCUAGAAUCCUAAUGAUGAUCCUUGAAUCAGGACAUUUGACAGUUGCAGGUGGGCAGUUUUACUGGGGCGGUAGCCUCCUAAAAAGUAACGGAGGCGUGCAAAGGUUCCCUCAGGCUGGACGGAAAUCAGCUUAAGAGUGUAAAGGUAGAAGGGAGCUUGACUGCAAGACAAACAAGUCGAGCAGGGG
Molecule: ribosomal RNA, 301 nt
Filed under: uncultured alga
Lineage: Eukaryota
Description: bacterial LSU rRNA
Rfam family: Bacterial large subunit ribosomal RNA
Source: RNAcentral